GACAAUUAAGCUGUUCAGCUGCCUGGUUCACUUAGUUCCCCCAUUACGGCUCUGUGCCAGGGUCAGGAAGGCCUGAAUCCGCCCACCUGCAGCGACACGCCGGAGGAAGAGGGGACCUCCCCAUGUCAGAGAUAAGUCUUGAGAAAAAGCCUGAACUGGAUGAACAUCAUUCAUUCAUCCACCACCCCAUCUAUCCCUUCUUCAGGCAUUCACUCCUGCCUGUUUUAUUCCACGUCCUAAAUUUGAGAGAGAAGAUGAGGUGAAAAAAAUAAGUGAAAUUUACCAUAGUGUGUAUAACGUGCCACUAUCAAUGUUAUAUAAAUACAUACAUGUCUAUAAUCUCCAGUAACAUUCUUCCUCCCAGGAGGCUGCGGAAGAGGGCUGGGAACCUGAGAGACUUACUUUUCUCUGCAUCCUCUUUGUUCCUUUACAAUUCUGCACGAUGCGUAUUUAUCACCUACUCCAGAAAUAAGUUUCAGCUGUAAACAACGCUCCUGACUGCCACCCCAAGCUCUGGUCACUUGAGCAGGCUGACCCCUCCGUGAUGGCGAUGGUGGAGUGAUUUGGCGUCAGACAGAUAUUUUCCUUGGAGCCAUCAGAUGUUCUCCCAAGCCUGCUGCCACGGGUGAAUGGGCGGCUUUCAGCAGCCAUGGUAUACGUCCUCCCUCCUACGAGAUCAGGAACGUCACUCCAUACACGUCCCUGCCUCUGGAGUCACCGAAUACAGGCACAGGACCCAGGGCCAUGGGUGGGAGGGAAGCAGUGGUCGACCUGAGUUCCACGUGUCCCAAUUCCUCCAGAGACCCAGCCCCACUCUGAGAUGUAGUUAGAUUUGAAGAGACUGUGUUGAUCCCUUUGGUCCAGGCAAGAUUGGGACAUCCACAUUGGACAGGUCUCAGGCGACAACUUCUCCAGAGACUUUUCUCAGUGAGUCCUCCCUCCCCUCGGGGUCUCAGUACUUCUGCCAUUGCCCUCCUCCUUCCAGCCUCACAGCAUCCCUGAGAGCCAGAGACUGUCCCUACCCCUAUUUCACAAGAGAGGAGGCCAGAGCCCAGAGGUAAAGUAACUUACUCCCAAGCUCACCUAGCCUGUAAAUCUCUCAGUCUGUAUUCAGCCCAGGCUGACCCAGCUUGACAGCCCAUUCACCUCUCACUCCAACACAAGGUGUCCCAAGGAGGAUGCUGUGCUGGGCAAAAUGGCCUUGGUCGACUGCAGAACAGAGAAGCCCAGACCAUAGAGAAAGAGACUGAUGCCCCUGGUUACACUAAAAUGCAAAACCCUUGUGCUUCGGGACUCCAUCAAUAAAGUGAAAAGACAAGCCACCGACUGGCAGAAGACAGUAGCAGCAGAUCAAGGAUUAGAGCUUCCACAAAUCAAUAAGAAAGACACAAACAACCCAAGGAAACACGGGCCAGACCGCAAAAGUAAUUCACAGGAGAGGAAAUCCACACGACCAGUAAAAUGAUGAAAACCUUUCAGGCCCACUGAUCAGAGACAGACAGAUUAAAAACACGAAUGAGAGACAUUUGGUCCCCAUCACAGUGGCAUAAAUUCCGAAGUCUGACAAUUGCCAUUGUGAGUCUGGAUGUGGAGCAACAGAAGCUGGCCAGCCCUUCAGGUGCAGUGGGGUGAUGGCGGGUGAACCUGAAGAAACUCAUGCACCCAGAGACCCCUCCCCAGGCGUGUGCGGGGGCAUGAGCAAGGAUGCUCAUGGCAGUGUGCUUUGUAUUGCAGAAAACUGGAAUAACUUGGAUGUUCAUUAAGAGGAGGAUGGAUUAGUAAACUGUGGUACGUCCUUCCAGUGAAAUGGAUUAGAGUGGUGGCAGUGUAUGUGCAGAACUCUGCACAGCAACAGGGAUAAAUUUCAAACAAAGUGUUGAAUGAAAACAAGCAAGUUGCAGAAGGCUCUGUACGAUCCUCUAUCAUUUACAAAAACUUUAAAAAUCUGCAAAGCAAUACUUCAUAUGUUUUAUGAACGUAUACAUAUGUAGCAUAAAUAUGAAAAUAUGUGCAGGAAAGAUUCUCGCCAACUUCAGGGAACAGGGUGAUGACUCCCUCUGGGCAGGAGGGAGGGGAAUGGGCUGAGAAGCUCCUAUUUAUUCAUGAUGUCUUAUUUCAUAAUCCAGAUUGUGGGAACAUGGGAGCUCUAUGUAUUUGUCCCUAUUUUUCAUAUGUUAAAUAUUUUACAUAAAAAAUGACAAAAAGGGAGCUGGACAAUUGCUCCAGGGUCAGUUGUCUCCCAGGUCACUGAUCACAGUUAGAAAAUUCAAUCGGAAAUUUGCCUCCCAGUCAUUGCUCCUAAUUCUGUUCCUUAAGGAUGCCAUGUGAAAACCCAGCUACUGGUGGCAUACAUCCGAAUUGGCUCCUGCCCUCAGCAGGCUAAUUGUGCAGGCUGGCAACGGCAGAGAGGAAGCUGCAUCUCCAGCCACCCCCUCCAUUACCAUCCUCCUCCACCCUGCACCUCCCCUUCCGGCCUUCUGAGCAGAUGGCUGCUCACACAGCAUGUUCUCUUCUGUAGAAAGUCCUUGACAAGCCCAGAGGCAAAGGAGGCUCAAAUCAAAGGAAUCCCACCACAUUUGUCAGUGGAAUUCUCUUUGCUAACCAGGGACUAGGCUCAACAAGGGAUGCUCAGUGGGAAGAACUGAGCUGGAAGUCAGGACAUCUGCUGUUGAUUUGCUGGGUGACUCUGGGUAAGUGACACAACCUCUUUGCCCCUUGGUGUCUCGACAGGUACACUGAGGGAGAUGUGCCAUCUAAGGUGGUGGUUCCAAACCUAGAAGCAUCAGAAUCCACUGGGGAGCUUUUAAAAACGUAGGUGCGAGGGCCCCGUAAUCAGAAUUGCCUGGGGUGGGGCCCAGGAAUUGUAUUUCUUUGAAUCACAGGAUGAUUCCAAGGCACAGCCAAGUUUGGGAAUCAUUAGAGGGUCAUUCCAGGUUGGACAUUCCGGUAUAUGAGAAAACUUGGUCCACACCGCCUUGUUUUCUCUCCCCACCCCCAGUGCUUUCCUGCAUCCUUGUUAAUCAUCACCCUGAAUAGUUAUGCCAAGCAGGGUGCUGGGUGGAAAAGAGGGAGCAGAUGAGCUUCCAGAACACGGCCCCUCCCACUCCCUGGUAACUACAGGGAAGCUGAGAAAGAAGGCGGGACGGGGGCAGGAACGCUACCCAUCCCCAGGUGGGGGAGGGUCUGCCGGUGGGAGACGGCCCAGCCCUUCUGCUGAAUUCCUGCCCUCCGCCCCAGGCCCAGCGCCCCAGCUCCCUGGGGCAGCUCCUCCCUCCCUUCAGCCUCCUCUAGCAAGGGCAGGAGUCACGCAAAUCACUGAAUUUAGAACGUCAAAGACAGACGGAUGUUUUCCCUGAUCGCAGCCAUUCACCGCUGUCUUACCACCUGUACUAUUAUUUAAUUGGCACUUUCUUUUACAUUGACUCACUGUUUUUUUACUUGAAUGCCCCUUCUAAGCAAUAAUAUCUGUGAAAUAACA
Equus caballus (horse) is the source of this 3478-nucleotide non-coding RNA. The record is from RefSeq and is a predicted model, not a curated record. NCBI's taxonomy places the organism in Eukaryota, Metazoa, Chordata, Mammalia, Perissodactyla, Equidae.